RNAcentral lists this ribosomal RNA (472 nucleotides) under uncultured beta proteobacterium. Its description in RNAcentral is "bacterial SSU rRNA". It matches the Rfam family "Bacterial small subunit ribosomal RNA", at positions 30 to 492 of the family's 1533-position model. Lineage: Bacteria; Pseudomonadati; Pseudomonadota; Betaproteobacteria. The record is from RNAcentral.
AUUGAACGCUGCGGCGUGCUUUACACAUGCAAGUCGAGCGGCAGCAGGACCUUCGGGUUGGUGGCGAGCGGCGAACGGGUGAGUAAUACAUCGGAACGUACCUUUUAGUUGGGGAUAACGCAUCGAAAGAUGUGCUAAUACCGAAUAAUCUCUGAGGAGGAAAGGCGGGGAUCUCGCAAGGGACCUGUCGCUGAAAGAGCGGCCGAUGGCCGAUUAGCUAGUUGGCGGGGUAAAAGCCCACCAAGGCGAUGAUCGGUAGCUGUUCUGAGAGGAAGAUCAGCCACACUGGGACUGAGACACGGCCCAGACUCCUACGGGAGGCAGCAGUGGGGAAUUUUGGACAAUGGGGGGAACCCUGAUCCAGCAACGUGACCACGAUGAAGAAGGCCUUAGGGUUGUAAAGUUCUUUUGUCAGGGAAGAAAAGGUUUGUGCUAAUAUCAUAAGCUGCUGACGGUACCUGAAGAAUAAGCA